AGAAGACGGUUUGGUUUGGAGAUGGCAUCAACAACAACAACAACUGAUAAUUCAGCGUUUUCUAAGUGGAUUAUACUCGCAGCAUUUUGAAUUUGUCACAGAAAUUGAUAAGAACUUCACAGUAAGGUGCACUUUAUGUGCUGGUGGGAGGCCGAGGGAACUGUCUACGGCUAAAAAUAGUACAAGUAACCUCAAGAAACACCUGGAGAGAGUGAACAGCAGCCUCAAGCUAGCGGCUAAACGACCUCUUGCUAGUAAACAAGUGGAAGAUGACGGCGCGAGCAGAUCUAAACAACGACAGCUGGAUUUCUCCAGACCAGAGGUGAAGAUGCUUGACCCAGGAGAAGUGAGAAGGCUGGUGGCUGAGUAUGUCUUGGAGGAUGUGCUGCCUCUUUCUACAGUUGAGUCACCGGCGUUUCAAAAGCUUGUCUGCAAAGUCCCUGUUCGAUCAAGUGAGAAGACAAGCUGAUGAUCACAUCUGCGCAUCCCUGGAUUUUAAUUACGCGAUGUGUGCCUUUGCCCAGAAACUGGCGAGGGAAAAACAUCUGGUUAAAGCCUUCCAUUGUCAGACGGUGUCUCGCCAAUUAGAGGAAGAGGAGCCUUGGAGAGCUACCCUGCUAUGUCUUCCCUACAUUUCAGUCUGGAUAAUAGCUUGGGUUUGCCAGCAAGCGGUUAGUUGCCACUCAGUGAAUCCUCGCGAUGUGAGAGGAGUGAUGAUGCAGACGGCACCAAACAAGCGAGGACCGGCUCCUCCACAGAACACCAAGACUGCCAUCCCAUGGUGGAAGAAGGAACUCGCCGCCCCUCUGAGACGCUCCAUCCAGACAAGCAGGAUGUGGCACAGUCGCUAAAAUAGGAGUUAUUCUCCGUCCGUUGCAUUCAUCUUACAG
Molecule: long non-coding RNA, 890 nt
Filed under: Sparus aurata (gilthead seabream)
Lineage: Eukaryota; Metazoa; Chordata; Actinopteri; Spariformes; Sparidae
Description: lncRNA (ENSSAUG00010004077.1)
Source: RNAcentral